Molecule: ribosomal RNA, 497 nt
Filed under: uncultured bacterium
Lineage: Bacteria
Description: partial 16S ribosomal RNA
Rfam family: Bacterial small subunit ribosomal RNA
Source: RNAcentral
GAUGAACGCUGGCGGCGUGCCUAAUACAUGCAAGUCGAGCGAACAGAUAAGGAGCUUGCUCCUUUGACGUUAGCGGCGGACGGGUGAGUAACACGUGGGUAACCUACCUAUAAGACUGGGAUAACUUCGGGAAACCGGAGCUAAUACCGGAUAAUAUUUCGAACCGCAUGGUUCGAUAGUGAAAGAUGGUUUUGCUAUCACUUAUAGAUGGACCCGCGCCGUAUUAGCUAGUUGGUAAGGUAACGGCUUACCAAGGCGACGAUACGUAGCCAACCUGAGAGGGUGAUCGGCCACACUGGAACUGAGACACGGUCCAGACUCCUACGGGAGGCAGCAGUAGGGAAUCUUCCGCAAUGGGCGAAAGCCUGACGGAGCAACGCCGCGUGAGUGAUGAAGGUCUUCGGAUCGUAAAACUCUGUUAUUAGGGAAGAACAUACGUGUAAGUAACUGUGCACGUCUUGACGGUACCUAAUCAGAAAGCCACGGCUAACUACGUG